RNAcentral lists this ribosomal RNA (441 nucleotides) under uncultured bacterium. RNAcentral's name for it is "bacterial SSU rRNA". It matches the Rfam family "Bacterial small subunit ribosomal RNA", at positions 958 to 1397 of the family's 1533-position model. The record is from RNAcentral.
AACGCGAAGAACCUUACCUACUCUUGACAUCCUGCGAAUCUGGCUGAGAGGCUGGAGUGCCGAAAGGAGCGCAGAGACAGGUGCUGCAUGGCUGUCGUCAGCUCGUGUUGUGAGAUGUUGGGUUAAGUCCCGUAACGAGCGCAACCCUUGCCCUUAGUUGCUAACAAGUUAAGUUGAGCACUCUAAGGGGACUGCUGGUGAUGAACCGGAGGAAGGCGGGGACGACGUCAAGUCAUCAUGGCCUUUAUGAGUAGGGCUACACACGUGCUACAAUGGGGCGUACAGAGGGUAGCGAACCCGCGAGGGGGAGCCAAUCUCUUAAAGCGUCUCGUAGUCCAGAUUGGAGUCUGCAACUCGACUCCAUGAAGUUGGAAUCGCUAGUAAUCGCGGAUCAGCAUUGCCGCGGUGAAUACGUUCCCGGGCCUUGUACACACCGAUAGC